This 443-nucleotide ribosomal RNA is filed under the name uncultured bacterium. Its description in RNAcentral is "partial 16S ribosomal RNA". It matches the Rfam family "Bacterial small subunit ribosomal RNA", at positions 338 to 795 of the family's 1533-position model. The record is from RNAcentral.
CCUACGGGAGGCAGCAGUGGGGAAUAUUGGGCAAUGGGCGCAAGCCUGACCCAGCAACGCCGCGUGAAGGAAGACGGCUUUCGGGUUGUAAACUUCUUUUCUGAGGGACGAAGACAGUGACGGUACCUCAGGACUAAGCCACGGCUACCUACGGGCCAGCAGCCGCGGUAAGACGUAGGUGGCAAGCGUUAUCCGGAUUCAUUGGUUGUAAAGGGGAUGUAGGCGGGAAAGUAAGUCAGAGGUGAAAACUCAGGGCUCAACCCUGAGCCUGCAUCUGAUACUGUUUGUCUUGAGUGCUGGAGAGGCAGUCGGAAUGUCGUGUGUAGCGGUGAAAUGCUUAGAGAUACGGAGGAACACCAGUGGCGAAGGCGGAUUACUGGACAGUAACUGACGCUGAGGCGCGAAAGCGUGGGGAGCAAACAGGAUUAGAUACCCGAGUAGUC